Molecule: ribosomal RNA, 377 nt
Filed under: uncultured eukaryote
Lineage: Eukaryota
Description: partial 18S ribosomal RNA
Rfam family: Eukaryotic small subunit ribosomal RNA
Source: RNAcentral
CAAUAGCGUAUAUUAAAGUUGUUGCAGUUAAAAAGCUCGUAGUUGGAUUUCGGGGCAGCCUGGCUGGUCCGCCGCAAGGCGAGUACUGGUCAGCCGCCCUUCCUCUCGAAAGCCCCGACUGCUCUUCGUUGCAGUGGUCGGGUAGUUCGGGACGUUUACUUUGAAAAAAUUAGAGUGUUCAAGGCAGGCCUACGCCUGAAUACAUUAGCAUGGAAUAAUGGAAGAGGACCUCGGUCCUAUUUUGUUGGUUUCCAGGACCGAAGUAAUGAUUAAGAGGGACAGUUGGGGGCAUUCGUAUUUAAUUGUCAGAGGUGAAAUUCUCGGAUUUAUGAAAGACGAACAACUGCGAAAGCAUUUGCCAAGGAUGUUUUCAUUAA